RNAcentral lists this ribosomal RNA (731 nucleotides) under Schistonchus sp. ex Ficus costaricana WY-2014. RNAcentral describes it as "eukaryotic LSU rRNA". It matches the Rfam family "Eukaryotic large subunit ribosomal RNA", at positions 378 to 944 of the family's 3401-position model. Lineage: Eukaryota; Metazoa; Nematoda; Chromadorea; Rhabditida; Aphelenchoididae. The record is from RNAcentral.
AAAAAGAGAGUGCAAAGAGAACGAGAACCGUUAUAGUGGAGCUGAUGGAGCCGACGUAUCCAGUGCGUAUUUAGUCUUUGUCGGAUGCAUUUGUUCGUUUGGAGGUCCGCAAAAGCCUCGAUGGAUAACUGUUGGUUUCCGGGAGAGGGGGACUUGCGUACAGAGUGCGCCGAAUCGGCUGGACUCGGCGUUCGAAGUCUGGCCAAGAGGGCCGACUCGCACGAAACGGAAACCUGGGCGUCGGACGGGCGACACAUGAGUCUGGCUGCGUUGCAUAAGGCUGGUCGAUCUGAAGUGGUCGUAGAGGUUGCUACGUUGUUGGGGUGCGGCGCACGCGUUUCGCCUCGAGACGUGUUUCUUUCCGCGGUCGUUUCUCGGCCGGUAUUCGGGAUCUAGUCGGUCACCCAUUUGACCCGUCUUGAAACACGGACCAAGGAGUUUAAGGUCUACGCAAGUCAUUGGGUGGAAAACUCAAAGGCGAAAUGAAAGUGGGACACUUGGUGUCUGUGAUGCGAUCCGUGUAUGAUUCGUUGUAUACAGAGCAGCAUCGACCCAUGACCAGAACUUGUUCUGUUGUGGCGUCUGAGCGUGGGCUUUGAGACCCGAAAGAUGGUGAACUAUGCCUGAACAGGACGAAGUCAGAGGAAACUCUGAUGGAAGUCCGAAGCGGUUCUGACGUGCAAAUCGAUCGUCUGACUUGGGUAUAGGGGCGCAAGACUAAUCGAACCAUC